UUUGAGGUACUGGUCGAAAUUUAAUCCCUCAAAAAGCAAAUAUCCCAUAUCAAAUAUUACAAUCCAAAGUGACAUAUGCAUUGAGAUCAAAAGGUGUAUGCCUAGAUAUCAGAUGAGAUGUAAAGGGCAAAAUAUGGGAUUGAAAGAUUGAUUUUACAAUCAAUGAGCAUUGGAAUAUAACGGUCAGUUAUGUGUUUGUGGUUGUUGUAAUUCUUUGUGUUUGAGCAGCCACUAGCUCAGAAGGGAAUCAGAAGCUUCAUUUGGGGUGAAGAUUUGUCCAAAUUAAACACUGUACUUAGAGGUUAAAUGCUAUUUAAAGAAGUACAGUGCAACCUUUUCCAAGAAUAUCAUACAGAUUUUUUCCUACUCUAGGUAUUUUAAGGCUAUCUCUUCUUUCUUUUGGCAUGAUCUAUACGACAAAAGGGAAACGAGCAAAUGCAUAAUUUUCAUAAAUUACUCUAUUCAUAGAAAUACUAGAAAUGAUUAUAUUCUUGAUUCCCCAUGUGUCAUAUUAUUCUAUCAUCUAUUCAUGUGUCUUAGAAAAAUAUGUAAGUUGAAAAAAAAGUUUACUUCAUAGGAUUACUCAAAGGUAUAAUGGUCUUAUGAAAUUCUGAAAGAUUUUAUUAACGUACUUUUUAUGCAUUGCAUUCAUAUACAUUGACCCAUGAACAUAUGACGUUAUAAAUGCGUAUAUAUGUAUAUAUAUGCAUAUGGGAUAUGGAAAAAGAUUAUGGCGUUAUAUACGCACCACCACCUGAUCAGCUGGUAUACGUUGGUGAUUUGCCCACAGUGGCCAAGAUGAUAUGAUGGGAUGCCCUCAGAGGCUUGAUAAAGUUAUGAACACAUAUACCCAUGUAUGGUAUGACAUUUAUACGUAUAUGCAUGACAUUUUAAAUAUUAAAGGAUUUCACAUAGCUAUUCAGAUUUACAUGUCGACUCUUUUACUCUAUGUUUCUCUCAUGUCUAUUGUUUACUGAUUUUUAUUCCUUACAUACUUUGUACUGACGUGCCUUUUGCCUGGGGACACUGCAUUUCAUGAUCGCAGGUCCUGAUAGAUAGGUCGAGAGUCCUCUAAGUAGGCUAUCAGCUCAACGGAAGGUGUUGGUGAGCUCCAUUUGCUCUAGAGUUGCUUCUUUGGUCAGUAUAAUUAGUAUAUGUAUUGAUUGGUAUGGCGGGACCCGAUCCCGACCUUUAUGAUAUUAUGCAUUCUUAGAGGCUUGUAAACAUAUGUCCUGUACGUAAAAGAUUGUAUGGUCUUGUCGGCCUAUAUUUAGUAUACGAGUGAUCAUUUGGUCUUAUAGGCCCGCAUGUCUUAUAUAUAAGUUGGU
This 1328-nucleotide long non-coding RNA is filed under the name Nicotiana tabacum (common tobacco). RNAcentral describes it as "long non-coding RNA (NTAB_LNC003523)". The record is from RNAcentral. Lineage: Eukaryota; Viridiplantae; Streptophyta; Magnoliopsida; Solanales; Solanaceae.